AAUCAACGCUGGCGGCGUGCCUAACACAUGCAAGUCGAACGCGAAAGCCCCUUCGGGGGUAAGUAGAGUGGCGUCCGGGUGAGUAACACGUGGGUAAUCUACCCUCGGGUGGGGAAUAACCCAGGGAAACUUGGGCUAAUACCGCAUAAUGCAGCGGCACCUAAUGGUGAUUAGUUGUUAAAGCGGGGGAUCGCAAGACCUCGCGCCUGAAGAGGAGCCUGCGGCAGAUUAGCUAGUUGGUGAGGUAAUGGCUCACCAAGGCUGCGAUCUGUAGCUGGUCUGAGAGGACGGCCAGCCACACUGGCACUGACACACGGGCCAGACUCCUACGGGAGGCAGCAGUGGGGAAUUUUGGGCAAUGGGCGCAAGCCUGACCCAGCAACGCCGCGUGAGGGAGGAAAUCCUUCGGGAUGUAAACCUCUCAAGCAAGGGAAGAGAGCUGCGGGCUGAAUAAUCCCGCGGUACGACGGUACCUUGCGUAAGCCACGGCUAACUACGUGC
RNAcentral lists this ribosomal RNA (501 nucleotides) under uncultured bacterium. RNAcentral describes it as "bacterial SSU rRNA". It matches the Rfam family "Bacterial small subunit ribosomal RNA", at positions 32 to 508 of the family's 1533-position model. The record is from RNAcentral.